This 529-nucleotide long non-coding RNA is filed under the name Mus spicilegus (steppe mouse). RNAcentral describes it as "lncRNA (ENSMSIG00000014332.1)". The record is from RNAcentral. Lineage: Eukaryota; Metazoa; Chordata; Mammalia; Rodentia; Muridae.
UUACAAAGUCAAAAGCUGAUGCCAGAAGAAACAAAACUUCUAUAUUCUAGGUUCGGGGACCAGAACAAGUUGUCUGGGGCCAGUUAGGCUUUCAAGAGAGUUUGACUAUACGGUCAUAGAGGAGGGAGCCAAGGAGAGAAGAGCAGACAUUCAGCAUCCUGCCGUAUCUGUGAUUAAAAAGACCUGAUCAGACAGUAAGUCAUGCCAAGUUGUGACCCAGAAAGCCAAACGGGGAACAUCAGGGCCCUUUGCCGUGGGAAGAAUUUAUGUCAGACCAAAGGAGAACAGAGGAGUUAUAUUUGUGAUAACUCCCAAAGGGAUGGCACCGGCAGCUGAUGUAACCCACCAGCCCACCCAAGAAUGUCUGCUCAGGGGCUCAGCUUCUGCCCACAAUCCCAGGUCCUGGCUGACAGACAGGUCAUCACCUCUUGCCUAGGAUCUAUGCAACCCCCUUCUCCGGUGUGACACUUCCCCGGCAUCGAACCCGCCCUGGAGUUGCUCCUAAUAAACGUGCUUCUAAACCCUAUCA